This 2896-nucleotide ribosomal RNA is filed under the name Klebsiella pneumoniae. RNAcentral describes it as "bacterial LSU rRNA". It matches the Rfam family "Bacterial large subunit ribosomal RNA". Lineage: Bacteria; Pseudomonadati; Pseudomonadota; Gammaproteobacteria; Enterobacterales; Enterobacteriaceae. The record is from RNAcentral.
UUAAGCGACUAAGCGUACACGGUGGAUGCCCUGGCAGUCAGAGGCGAUGAAGGACGUGCUAAUCUGCGAAAAGCGUCGGUAAGGUGAUAUGAACCGUUACAGCCGGCGAUGUCCGAAUGGGGAAACCCAGUGCAAUUCGUUGCACUAUCGUUAACUGAAUACAUAGGUUAACGAGGCGAACCGGGGGAACUGAAACAUCUAAGUACCCCGAGGAAAAGAAAUCAACCGAGAUUCCCCCAGUAGCGGCGAGCGAACGGGGAGCAGCCCAGAGUCUGAAUCAGCUUGUGUGUUAGUGGAACGGUCUGGAAAGUCCGACGGUACAGGGUGAUAGUCCCGUACACCAAAAUGCACAGGUUGUGAACUCGAAGAGUAGGGCGGGACACGUGGUAUCCUGUCUGAAUAUGGGGGGACCAUCCUCCAAGGCUAAAUACUCCUGACUGACCGAUAGUGAACCAGUACCGUGAGGGAAAGGCGAAAAGAACCCCGGCGAGGGGAGUGAAAAAGAACCUGAAACCGUGUACGUACAAGCAGUGGGAGCACCUUCGGGUGUGACUGCGUACCUUUUGUAUAAUGGGUCAGCGACUUAUAUUCUGUAGCAAGGUUAACCGUAUAGGGGAGCCGCAGGGAAACCGAGUCUUAACUGGGCGUUAAGUUGCAGGGUAUAGACCCGAAACCCGGUGAUCUAGCCAUGGGCAGGUUGAAGGUUGGGUAACACUAACUGGAGGACCGAACCGACUAAUGUUGAAAAAUUAGCGGAUGACUUGUGGCUGGGGGUGAAAGGCCAAUCAAACCGGGAGAUAGCUGGUUCUCCCCGAAAGCUAUUUAGGUAGCGCCUCGUGAACUCAUCUUCGGGGGUAGAGCACUGUUUCGGCUAGGGGGUCAUCCCGACUUACCAACCCGAUGCAAACUACGAAUACCGAAGAAUGUUAUCACGGGAGACACACGGCGGGUGCUAACGUCCGUCGUGAAGAGGGAAACAACCCAGACCGCCAGCUAAGGUCCCAAAGUCAUGGUUAAGUGGGAAACGAUGUGGGAAGGCACAGACAGCCAGGAUGUUGGCUUAGAAGCAGCCAUCAUUUAAAGAAAGCGUAAUAGCUCACUGGUCGAGUCGGCCUGCGCGGAAGAUGUAACGGGCUAAACCAUGCACCGAAGCUGCGGCAGCGACACUAUGUGUUGUUGGGUAGGGGAGCGUUCUGUAAGCCUGCGAAGGUGUGCUGUGAGGCAUGCUGGAGGUAUCAGAAGUGCGAAUGCUGACAUAAGUAACGAUAAAGCGGGUGAAAAGCCCGCUCGCCGGAAGACCAAGGGUUCCUGUCCAACGUUAAUCGGGGCAGGGUGAGUCGACCCCUAAGGCGAGGCCGAAAGGCGUAGUCGAUGGGAAACAGGUUAAUAUUCCUGUACUUGGUGUUACUGCGAAGGGGGGACGGAGAAGGCUAUGUUAGCCGGGCGACGGUUGUCCCGGUUUAAGCAUGUAGGCUGGUUAUCCAGGCAAAUCCGGAUAAUCAAGGCUGAGGUGUGAUGACGAGGCACUACGGUGCUGAAGUAACAAAUGCCCUGCUUCCAGGAAAAGCCUCUAAGCAUCAGGUAACAUCAAAUCGUACCCCAAACCGACACAGGUGGUCAGGUAGAGAAUACCAAGGCGCUUGAGAGAACUCGGGUGAAGGAACUAGGCAAAAUGGUGCCGUAACUUCGGGAGAAGGCACGCUGGUGUGUAGGUGAAGUCCCUGCGGAUGGAGCUGAGACCAGUCGAAGAUACCAGCUGGCUGCAACUGUUUAUUAAAAACACAGCACUGUGCAAACACGAAAGUGGACGUAUACGGUGUGACGCCUGCCCGGUGCCGGAAGGUUAAUUGAUGGGGUUAUCCGUAAGGAGAAGCUCUUGAUCGAAGCCCCGGUAAACGGCGGCCGUAACUAUAACGGUCCUAAGGUAGCGAAAUUCCUUGUCGGGUAAGUUCCGACCUGCACGAAUGGCGUAAUGAUGGCCAGGCUGUCUCCACCCGAGACUCAGUGAAAUUGAACUCGCUGUGAAGAUGCAGUGUACCCGCGGCAAGACGGAAAGACCCCGUGAACCUUUACUAUAGCUUGACACUGAACAUUGAGCCUUGAUGUAGGAUAGGUGGGAGGCUUUGAAGCGUGGACGCCAGUCUGCGUGGAGCCAACCUUGAAAUACCACCCUUUAAUGUUUGAUGUUCUAACGUUGGCCCCUGACCGGGGUUGCGGACAGUGUCUGGUGGGUAGUUUGACUGGGGCGGUCUCCUCCCAAAGCGUAACGGAGGAGCACGAAGGUUAGCUAAUCCUGGUCGGACAUCAGGAGGUUAGUGCAAUGGCAUAAGCUAGCUUGACUGCGAGCGUGACGGCGCGAGCAGGUGCGAAAGCAGGUCAUAGUGAUCCGGUGGUUCUGAAUGGAAGGGCCAUCGCUCAACGGAUAAAAGGUACUCCGGGGAUAACAGGCUGAUACCGCCCAAGAGUUCAUAUCGACGGCGGUGUUUGGCACCUCGAUGUCGGCUCAUCACAUCCUGGGGCUGAAGUAGGUCCCAAGGGUAUGGCUGUUCGCCAUUUAAAGUGGUACGCGAGCUGGGUUUAGAACGUCGUGAGACAGUUCGGUCCCUAUCUGCCGUGGGCGCUGGAGAAUUGAGGGGGGCUGCUCCUAGUACGAGAGGACCGGAGUGGACGCAUCACUGGUGUUCGGGUUGUCAUGCCAAUGGCACUGCCCGGUAGCUAAAUGCGGAAGAGAUAAGUGCUGAAAGCAUCUAAGCACGAAACUUGCCCCGAGAUGAGUUCUCCCUGAGACUAUAAGUCUCCUGAAGGAACGUUAAAGACGAUGACGUUGAUAGGCCGGGUGUGUAAGCGCAGCGAUGCGUUGAGCUAACCGGUACUAAUGAACCGUGAGGCUUAACCU